UCGAAACCUGCUAGAGCAGAACAACCCGCGAACUUGUUAAAUAUUAUGAUCGGGGAGGGGUUGCCGGCCUGUCGGUCCCUCCUCUAAGCCGGGGGCAGUCCCCAGGACAGCCCCCUGGCAGAACAACAAAUCCCGGCGUGCUAUGCGCCAAGGAACAUGAACCACAGUCUGCCCGCCCUUGGCCCGGGUCCCCGGUGCGAGGGCGAGGCGGCAUAAUGAAGUCGUAGAACGACUCUCGGCAACGGAUAUCUCGGCUCUCGCAUCGAUGAAGAACGUAGUAAAAUGCGAUACUUGGUGUGAAUUGCAGAAUCCCGUGAACCAUCGAGUUUUUGAACGCAAGUUGCGCCCGAAGCCUUCGGGCCAGGGCACGUCUGCCUGGGCGUCACACACAGCGUCUCCCCCACCCACCAAGCGUGGGACGGGAGAGGAUGAUGGCCUCCCAUGCUCACCCUGCGUGGUUGGCCUAAAUAAGGAGCCCAUGCCCACUUGAUGCCGCGGCGAUUGGUGGUAUAAAAUGCACCCUACAUAGCCGUGCAUCCGGUGUUGAAUGUGGACUCGUCGGACCCUU
RNAcentral lists this ribosomal RNA (568 nucleotides) under Alternanthera philoxeroides. RNAcentral's name for it is "eukaryotic LSU rRNA". The stretch from base 231 to 385 matches the Rfam family "5.8S ribosomal RNA". Lineage: Eukaryota; Viridiplantae; Streptophyta; Magnoliopsida; Caryophyllales; Amaranthaceae. The record is from RNAcentral.